GGAAAAUUCAUUACCUCUCUUUCUUUCUCAUUUCUCAUUAAUUUUGUGUUAUUUACAAUAAUCACAGGCGUCCGGAAGGAUUUUGAUUAUGAGGAUUUGAGUACUAUCGGUUACUGAUCAUUGUGGACAGUGGACUACAAAAAAUCGUAUUACUGGAGCUGAUGUAAAACCAACACAGAAGAAAAGUCUGAUUUCUGCAAGAUUCUUAAAGACCUGAAACUUCCUACUGGUUUCUCGUCGAACAUUAGCAACAAUGUUAAUAUGAAAAAACUGAGUAUCAGUAGCUUGAAAUCACACGAUUAUCACGUCAUUAUGAUGUAUUUGCUGCCAGUUCUACUUCAACAUGCUUUUCCUCGUCACAAAGAGUUGCGAACAGCACUUCACCAAAUCAGCUUGUAUUUCAGAAUUUUGUGUUCUAAAGUCUUGUGUAAAAGUGAUCUCGAAAAGGCUCGAUUCAUAGUUGCGGAAGCAAUGUGUAUGCUUGAGAAAUACUUUCCAGCUUCCUUUUUUGAUAUCAGUGUCCACAAUAUGGUUCAUUUGGCAGAUGAGGCUUUGAUUUGUGGACCCGUCAGGUUUCGGUGGAUGUAUCCUUUUAAAAGGGCAAUGAAGGACUGCAAAAACAUACCAAAUAACAAAAGAUUCAUUGAAGGGUCUAUUUCAGUGUCCA
This is a long non-coding RNA of Papaver somniferum (opium poppy), 667 nucleotides long. RefSeq lists it as uncharacterized. Lineage: Eukaryota; Viridiplantae; Streptophyta; Magnoliopsida; Ranunculales; Papaveraceae. The record is from RefSeq and is a predicted model, not a curated record. The transcript has 3 exons.